GGAGGAGAAUCGUCCCCGGUGGGGCGGCCGGACUUCAAAUCCGGUUGAGGCAGCGAGCCUGUCUCGGGUGGGUUCGACUCCCAUUCUCCUCCGCCA
This 96-nucleotide transfer RNA is filed under the name Paracoccus sphaerophysae. Its description in RNAcentral is "tRNA-Sec". It matches the Rfam family "Selenocysteine transfer RNA". Lineage: Bacteria; Pseudomonadati; Pseudomonadota; Alphaproteobacteria; Rhodobacterales; Paracoccaceae. The record is from RNAcentral.